This 149-nucleotide unclassified non-coding RNA is filed under the name soil metagenome. Its description in RNAcentral is "partial internal transcribed spacer 1". The record is from RNAcentral.
CCGAGUUUACAACUCCCAAACCCCUGUGAACAUACCUUUAUGUUGCCUCGGCGGAUCAGCCCGCGCCCCGUAAAACGGGACGGCCCGCCGCAGGAAACCCUAAACUCUGUUUUUAGUGGAACUUCUGAGUAUAAAAAGCAAAUAAAUCA